ACGAAGGGAGCAGCAUCUCAGGAGAGCAUGGAGAACAUGUCUUCCAGAACUGGGAGGCCAUUAGGAGCCUUGCUCCUUCUCAGAGGCUAGGAGAGGAGAGGUUGCGAGCAGAGGCUACAAUAGGAACGAGUGUGAGCUCCCUCAGCUCUGCAAAGAUUCAAGCUUUCUCACAAGUCAAGCAAGACAAAGAAGAGUGCUGUCUCAGAUUACUGGUUGAGCAGACGUGGGAAAGGAAGAGGGGAUGUUUUCAAUUGGGAGUAUUUGGCAUUGUGAAGCAGAUGCAAAGAGAUGCUAAGGAAUGAUGGGAAUCCUGCCUUCUACUCACACCCCACUGGCUCCUGCAGUAAAUCAGCCAGGCUCAAUGGGCAGCAAAGAUUCACCUGUGAACAUCAAGUUUCCAUGGCUGUGCUACAAGGUCUGAUUUGGAUUUGGAAUCUGUUUUUCUCUAUCCACCAAAUGCCCUCACACUAGGAAUCUGUUUUUCUCUGUCCACCAAAUGCCCUCACACUAAAAUCCAGGAGCCAUCUUUGGUCCCCCUCCCCCUUGAGCUGUUUCUAUUUCUAGUAACUCACCAAGCAUUUGUCUCUUUAUGAUUACUUGACAUAAACAUUUUUUUUCGUUUUUACUGCCGCUGCCUUCCUUAUGAUAGUAUUAUUUCUCUUCUUAAAUCACUGCAUCAGCCUGGUUUCCAGUCCUCCAGCCUAGCUAGGAUCCAUGUGUUCAAUUCUCACUCCAGCAUUCAUAUGACAGUUAUGAUGAACUUGAAAACAAAGGCAAUACUUAACUGUCUAUAUUGCUCCACAGUGUCAGGGUAUAAUUACACCUCACGUAGUGUUGGUCCAUAAAAAUAUUAAUUGGGUAGACUGAGCCAAUGACCAAUGGAAGUUGUUGUGUGUACCCCAACCCCAAGGCUGAGAAAGUAUUUUCUGUUUACCUAUAACAAAGUAAAAAAUAUGCUUGGUACAUAACCAGAGUGGACCAGGUUACAGUGGAGAGUGUUGUGGAGUACUAGCUGAAGAUGUGCUACAUUUGUUUAUGCUGUGGAUAUUUGUUUAAUGAGGCAAAGAUGUGUAUCUCUGUGAA
Non-coding RNA from Myodes glareolus (Bank vole), 1083 nucleotides. Lineage: Eukaryota; Metazoa; Chordata; Mammalia; Rodentia; Cricetidae. The record is from RefSeq and is a predicted model, not a curated record.